Molecule: ribosomal RNA, 173 nt
Filed under: uncultured bacterium
Lineage: Bacteria
Description: partial 16S ribosomal RNA
Rfam family: Bacterial small subunit ribosomal RNA
Source: RNAcentral
UGAGCAACCUGCCCAAGUGUGGGGGAUAGCCGGCCCAACGGCCGGGUAAUACCGCAUACGCUUCCUAGGGGGCAUUCCCAGGGAAGGAAACCUUCGGGGCACAUGGAGGGGCUCGCGGCUUAUCAGCUAGUUGGUGGGGUAAUGGCUCACCAAGGCUACGACGGGUAGCUGGU